UACGUAGGGGGCAAGCGUUGUCCGGAUUUAUUGGGCGUAAAGCGCGUGUAGGCGGCCAGGUAGGUCCGUUGUGAAAACUCGAGGCUCAACCUCGAGACGCCGAUGGAAACCAUCUGGCUAGAGUCCGGAAGAGGAGAGUGGAAUUCCCGGUGUAGCGGUGAAAUGCGCAGAUAUCGGGAAGAACACCCGUGGCGAAGGCGGCUCUCUAGUACGGUACUGACGCUGAGACGCGAAAGCGUGGGGAGCGAACAGG
RNAcentral lists this ribosomal RNA (253 nucleotides) under uncultured bacterium. RNAcentral describes it as "partial 16S ribosomal RNA". It matches the Rfam family "Bacterial small subunit ribosomal RNA", at positions 524 to 776 of the family's 1533-position model. The record is from RNAcentral.